This 378-nucleotide RNase P RNA is filed under the name Brevundimonas sp. Root608. RNAcentral's name for it is "bacterial RNase P". It matches the Rfam family "Bacterial RNase P class A". From Rfam's summary of the family: Ribonuclease P (RNase P) is a ubiquitous endoribonuclease, found in archaea, bacteria and eukarya as well as chloroplasts and mitochondria. The record is from RNAcentral. Lineage: Bacteria; Pseudomonadati; Pseudomonadota; Alphaproteobacteria; Caulobacterales; Caulobacteraceae.
UCAGACGGCCGGGCGGUCGCGGCGGGGGUUAUGCCCGCGUCGAGGAAAGUCCGGGCUCCACGGUGAAAAGGCGGCGGGUAACUCCCGCCCGGGGCGACCCGAGGGAUAGCGCCACAGAAAGCAAACCUCCGGCCUUGCGAGGCCGGUAAGGGUGAAAGGGUGGGGUAAGAGCCCACCGCGUGCCUGGCAACAGGGACGGCAUGGCAAGCCCCGCCUGGAGCAAGACCGAAUAGGGACGUCGCGCGGUUUCGGCCGCAGGGUUCAUCGCCCGAGGCGUCCGGGUAGGUCGCGAGAACCGUUCAGCAAUGGGCGGUCCAGAGGAAUGAUCGUCGCCCGCUUCGGCGGGAACAGAACCCGGCUUACAGGCCGUCUGACAUU